GGGGGGGCUAAAUUAGCAGGAGCGCGUUUGGCGUGGCCAGGCGGGGGUCCCGCUCCGGUCCCCCGAGCUGUCCCGUUCGGGUCCCCUUUGCCCAGGACGGCCACACGGGACAGCCCCUCCUCCGCCAGAGGACACGGAUGUGUCUGUUCUCGAGGGGCAUCGGCCUGACCACGGUCUAUCCCUCCCGCCUGUGGAUCCCAGGUAUUUCACAGACGCCCAUGGUAUGUGCCUGCGUGUUUGCUGUGGCUGUGGUGGGAGUCAUGGCUGUCGUGAGGGUGCUGAGCGCUGUGACCGUGUCUGUGUUCAGAAGGCUCUUGGCUGACUCACGUUCUCAGUCUGUGUGGUUUCAACAGCUCCAGAGCUUAAGAGUUCUGAGGAGACUUUCAAUCACCCACCUUCCCAGCAUGGACUUCCCUGUUCUCCAACAACCAUGCCUCCAUCCCCAUCCCUGGGUACAUGUGCAGCCCAUUCACACAGUCUCACACAAAAAUAGUCUUUAUGGCACUUCAUCUGAAUGGAGGCAAGUGGAAGGAAGACAUGAUCAACUCCUAAAAAUUAGCAAUAGUGAAAAAGGCAUUUCAUGUGGUAUGUGAAGACUAAUUUUUCAUGUAAUUAAAACUAGGUUUUGCUGAGCGUGCUGGUGUUGCCAUUGAAAAGACCUGGAUAAUAUCCAAGGCAACCUUUUGGUUGGUUUUAUGCAGCCUCUGAGCUGUAGAUUAGAGUUGCACCUGCCUGCAGAAAUGGAGAAAGGCUGAGUUCUGGGAUGUGGUCCCUAAAGGCCCAGGUGACCCAGCAUGUACUGUUCCCAGGACUGGAGAGACUGGUGGGGUUAGGUGGUCAGUCACAUAAACUUUCUGGACCAUGGCUGCUUGGAACAUGAAUCCCUUCAUGCUACAAAACCACCUUCAGAUGGUCCCUGGACUGUUUCCUACAGUGCUCACUGCCUCACUGGGGUUCAGCUGCCUCCUUCACAGAGCUUCUCUCAUCCACUGCCACAAGACAACAGAGCUGGUCCUGAGGCCAUAAGGAGAGCUUCAGUGCUCAGCCUGUUUGUGGCAGCUCCUCUGCUCUCAGGCUCUCUGUCACAAAGGUGUGGGUUGUGCUGGUAAAGCUGCUCUGAGAGUGUGGCUCUGGCUGGCCCUGGGAUUUUAUGGCCCCAGGACUGACUGAGCCUGGCACAUCCUCUGUGAAUUCCUCAGGGUGAAUUCAUUCAAGUUGAUUUAUUUGUGCAAGCAUCUGUAAAUAGGAAGCCAGAAAUGCUGAUUCUUCUUUGCAGCUGUUCACAAGUCUCUUGAGUUUCCUGAUCAUAAAUGCUCUUUUUUGUGCACUGGUUCUCUCCAAAUGACAUUUCUGAUCCAAAGUACUUGACAGCUGUUGCCUGUGACUGCUGCUUUGCUGAGUGACUGGCACACAGUAGUGUGGUUAAAGCUGCACUGCUCCAGUAUGCUGAUUUUGCCAGUCUGAGCUGUGCCAUGUGCUGCCCAGCAGUGUCUGAUGCAGCCCUGGGAAGAUUCAGAUAAACCUCAAGAGCAGCAGAAUCAGAUGUGGAAUUGUGCCACUACAGUUGUUCUGUGUAUAACUGGUGUGCAAAGCCAACAAAAAGGAAAGGUCAGAGAAUAAUUCAUUACAAAUUCAGUAAUUCUUUCUGGAGUAUGAAUUUGCUCCAGCAUUUCUCCAAGAGGAGAUCCCAGGGCUAGCAAUGGAGGGAAAUUCCUAAACUAAUUGACAUAUUCAGCCCUCUCAAAGCAUCAAAUACAUCAGGCAAAUAUGAGAGGAUUGACUCAACCCAGUUGCUGUCUGCUGGCCACUAAUUUGGGGGGUUAGAGCUGCCUUAAGGAGUUGCAGUAAAUAUACACAUGCUGUGGUGCUGUCUUUUGUCUGGCAGUAACUUCUGGAGCCACUCUCAGCCAAAUGAGACAGAGGAGCAGACCUUUAAAACUCUUGGGGUUCCUGCAGGCUUUAUGGAAAUCUGGGGAAGUUUCAGGAGACCCAGGCUGGGGUGGGCUUUGCACAGGCAAUAGCUUGGGACCUGGCAGCGUUGUGCUGCUCCAAGUCAGCCGGCAUGGCCAGCUGUGGCCCCAGCAGUGAAGGGGCAGACAGGGAUGACACAGAACAGAGGAGAGAACUCAGGGCUGUCAGAGACUCGAGCUGAAUGAAGACUUCCAGCAAGGAGCUGAAAGGACACAAACCAGAAAACUCUGAGAAAACUCUGGUUUGCUUGCUUAGUGCACCAAUUUGUUUGGUUUUUUUUUUUUCCAGAGGUGUAAACCUGAUCUUGUGAGUCCUGGUAUUUACCCCAAACUGAUGGUAGUUUUUGCAGCAUUUACUGGGGCAUUUACUGGCUAUCCUUUCUUCCUGAAAUUCCUUGUCUCUGCAAGUGAUUCGGUAGGAACAUGCACAGAGGGCUGGGUGUGCUAAGGCCUGGGAGCAGUUUGAGGAGCUGAGUUUGGGAUCUCCUCCGUGGUGCCACCAGCAGUGUGGUAGUGGGGCUGUGGAACAGUUGUUGGUCCACAGAGACAGCAGCAGAUGCAGCUCUCAGGGGGACCUUCUGCUGUCCUACAGCCUCCAGGUGCUGCUGCCUUACAAAAAGAAGUAGAUCUGGUGGAGCCAAACACACAAUAGAGAGGAGCUGCUGCUGGAAGAUCUGCACUCCUUGAUCACACUGCCCACAUGAGGCACCCACACAGAGGGCACAGGGGAUGGAUGAAUUCAACCUGGGGAUGUUGCAUCAAAGAACUUUCAUAAAACACUCUUUUUAGCACUGAGCCAGUUCAGGGAUGAUUCAUCUUUGUUCCUGCAAACAGAUGCUGGUUUGGGCACUUCUUGUGUGCCCUGCUGGAAUUAUGCAAUGCAAUGGUGACAUUUUUUUGGGGUAAACAAGCCACUCCUUUUCCUGACUCACUACAAAUGAGGUGUUCUGAUUGCUGAGGUGUUGCAGCGUGUGCCGUGCAGGGCGCGCUGGGGGCUGUAGCAGGGCUGUGACCGUCCCCUGUGAGCGCUGCAGUUCCCAGUUACCGGCAGGGACAGAGCAGGGACACACAGCGGUGGCACGGGGCUUGGGGUGGGACAAGAUGGAUUUAUUUAUUCCUGGGCUCCCCGACAAGACUGGAGGGGUGUGAACAGAAGUUUUUAUACAGCAGCUCAGGAGUAGGGGUGUGGGAAGGUGAACCAGUGAGGACAUGGUAAGAGAGGAGUAUAAGGUGGGGCAAAUAAUUUAUGGGCAGAUCAGGGAAAAUUGGGAUGGGGGAUGAAAUACAAAAUAACAAACGGGGUGUCGAGGGCAACAAGACAGACACAGAACUCUCUGGAGAAAGGGGUAGGGAUAGGGAGGAUUGGCAACUUGGAAGGGAGGAGGUUAGGGAAGGGCUUGGGAAAAUUGGCAACUGGGUAAGGGAGGGGAUUAGGGAGGAGAACAGGGGGCAAACAUGGAUUCAAAGCAAAACACACCACAACACUGAGGCACCCUCCAGUCCUUCCUGGCCACUCCUCCAGCCCAAUGCAGUUUUUUGUGUUUUUUUUUUUUUUUUUUUUUCCUUCACUUGGGAGACUCCAGCUUUGUUGUUAUUCUGAGAUUUCAUCAGGGCCCUGUACAGUGACUUACAUAUCCCAGGGGUGCUUCCUGUUCCUGUGGGAUGUAUCCCACCUUAUCCCAUGUCCCAGAGGGGGGAUUUUCACCCACCAUUUAUUUUGGCCAAGCUGUCAUGUUUUUAUUUUCAUAGUCAACCACUUCAGUGUUAUAUUUUGUUUCCUUCUGCCUUUGCCACCACAGACCUUGCACAGCAGUAGUUGCAUUUUAGUCAUUAGCGGUCCUCAGUGGGUUUGGUGUCCCUGAGAAAGUCACAUUUACAUACUCUUAUCUCACUGUACUGGGAUCCUUUACUGAUAAACACUUGAGUUGCUUUUGCCUCUUUUCAAGUUGUCUUCUGUUGGAGUUUAUUGACUGGAACACCUGACAACUUUUGGGUUUGUCAGUGAAAAAAUACCUGUAAAUUCAUAUGUCUUUAAUUUUUGUGGGCUACAUGACUCUCAUUACUCCUUUUUUUCAGGGUUCAUGGGUAAAAACUGCUGUUAAAUUGAAGGGUAUUGCUGUUUUUAGAAAUUGUUGGGAGAAAGGUGCUUGCCUUUUAUUUAUUAACUUGGAAAACAACAGAUUUUCCUAGUAGUCUGAAGUACCACUGCUGUAGGUAUCUUCCAGUCUUUCUGCUGCUGGCUGACAGAAGACAGCAUGAGGUUUGUGGUAUUUUAUGGAGGUUAGCAGUGGUCUGGAUCAAAAACAGAACCUGAGCAGUUGGUCUUUCUUCUUUGGGUUCAGAGACAGGAGAAAAUAAACUGCACUUCAGAUUUCUUUGACUGGCUUCAUGCACCAGAACUUCCUUUACAUGAAAGACAGGUAUUUUUGUAAGAAAACAAAUAAACUUUUCUCAGCACC
Taeniopygia guttata (zebra finch) is the source of this 4429-nucleotide long non-coding RNA. The record is from Ensembl. NCBI's taxonomy places the organism in Eukaryota, Metazoa, Chordata, Aves, Passeriformes, Estrildidae.